Molecule: ribosomal RNA, 409 nt
Filed under: bacterium
Lineage: Bacteria
Description: partial 16S ribosomal RNA
Rfam family: Bacterial small subunit ribosomal RNA
Source: RNAcentral
UGGAGAAUAUUGCACAAUGGGCGAAAGCCUGAUGCAGCGACGCCGCGUGAGGGAUGACGGCCUUCGGGUUGUAAACCUCUUUCAGCAGGGAAGAAGCGAAAGUGACGGUACCUGCAGAAGAAGCGCCGGCUAACUACGUGCCAGCAGCCGCGGUAAUACGUAGGGCGCAAGCGUUGUCCGGAAUUAUUGGGCGUAAAGAGCUCGUAGGCGGCUUGUCACGUCGGAUGUGAAAGCCCGAGGCUUAACCUCGGGUCUGCAUUCGAUACGGGCUAGCUAGAGUGUGGUAGGGGAGAUCGGAAUUCCUGGUGUAGCGGUGAAAUGCGCAGAUAUCAGGAGGAACACCGGUGGCGAAGGCGGAUCUCUGGGCCAUUACUGACGCUGAGGAGCGAAAGCGUGGGGAGCGAACAGG